This 465-nucleotide ribosomal RNA is filed under the name uncultured bacterium. Its description in RNAcentral is "partial 16S ribosomal RNA". It matches the Rfam family "Bacterial small subunit ribosomal RNA", at positions 339 to 795 of the family's 1533-position model. The record is from RNAcentral.
CUACGGGUUGCUGCAGUGGGGAAUAUUGCACAAUGGGCGCAAGCCUGAUGCAGCCAUGCCGCGUGUAUGAAGAAGGCCUUCGGGUUGUAAAGUACUUUCAGCGGGGAGGAAGGGAGUAAAGUUAAUACCUUUGCUCAUUGACGUUACCCGCAGAAGAAGCACCGGCUAACUCCGUGCGCAGCAGCCGCGGUAAUACGGAGGGUGCAAGCGGUAAUCGGAAUUACUGGGCGUAAAGCGCACGCAGGCGGUUUGUUAAGUCAGAUGUGAAAUCCCCGGGCUCAACCUGGGAACUGCAUCUGAUACUGGCAAGCUUGAGUCUCGUAGAGGGGGGUAGAAUUCCAGGUGUAGCGGUGAUAUGCGUAGAGAUCUGGAGGAAUACCGGUGGCGAAGGCGGCCCCCUGGACGAAGACUGACGCUCAGGUGCGAAAGCGUGGGGAGCAAACAGGAUUAGAUACCCGAGUAGUC